RNAcentral lists this transfer RNA (72 nucleotides) under Phrynosoma platyrhinos (Desert horned lizard). RNAcentral's name for it is "tRNA-OTHER". Lineage: Eukaryota; Metazoa; Chordata; Lepidosauria; Squamata; Phrynosomatidae. The record is from RNAcentral.
GCCAGUGUGGCAUAGUGGUUUGCAUGUUGGAAUACAACUCUGGAGACCAGUGUUCGAUUCUCAGCUCAGCCA